This 442-nucleotide ribosomal RNA is filed under the name uncultured prokaryote. RNAcentral's name for it is "bacterial SSU rRNA". It matches the Rfam family "Bacterial small subunit ribosomal RNA", at positions 355 to 796 of the family's 1533-position model. The record is from RNAcentral.
UGAGGAAUCUUGCGCAAUGGAGGAAACUCUGACGCAGCCACGCCGCGUGCAGGAAGACACCCCUACGGGGCGUAAACUGCUUUUGUACGGGAAGAAGGCGUGCCUUGGGCACGUUUGACGGUACCGUAAGAAUAAGCACCGGCUAACUCCGUGCCAGCAGCCGCGGUAAUACGGAGGGUGCAAGCGUUGUCCGGAAUUAUUGGGUGUAAAGGGUGUGUAGGCGGAGGAGUAAGUCAGAGGUGAAAGGCUGGGGCUUAACCCCAGCACUGCCUUUGAUACUGCUUCUCUUGAGUCCUGGAGGGGUCGCUGGAAUUCGUGGUGUAGCGGUGAAAUGCGUAGAUAUCACGAGGAACACCGGAGGUGUAGACGGGCGACUGGACAGGUACUGACGCUGAGGCACGAAAGCGUGGGGAGCAAACAGGAUUAGAUACCCCCGUAGUCC